AUGCCCUGGGAGCUCGGGAAGGGCUCAGGGAAGGGUUGGUGCCUCUGCUCCUCUGCAGGGCUGAGCCCCAAGGGCCGGGGGAGCAGCCCAGGAUCCGAGCACAGCGAAGGUGAGGCCUCUCCCAGGGAAUGCCAGGCACAGCCCAGGGGCAGAAGAGCUCCAAGGCUCCCAGGAAGCGUUUGGAGGUCACAGGAGAGAGGGUGGACUUUGGCCAUGGCCGUUUUCCAUCUUGGCUGCGAUUCAGGCUGGGAGAUCUCUGAAAGUUCUACACAGAAAAUGUUCCACUUGCGUUGUUGUUCAGGCAAGAAAAAUAAGUUCCCAAGGCCAUUUGUUAAAGGAGGAGCUUGUUAUCCAUGCAGCCGGAAUUCCUGGGAGCAGACUGUGCUCCUGAUAAGCUCGGGAGGAGCUUGGCAAGCAGGUGCUGCUCGUUGGGGAUUGAUGGCAUUUCUGAGCUCACAAAGCAGUGUGUGGGGUGCAGCACCCCAGGUCCAGCUCCUACCUGUCUGUUGCUGGGGCUCCACAUCCCACUGCUCUGUUCCUGGGGGUCCAGAUCAAGCCUUUCCUGUCUCAGGGCUGCCUGUCUGUCCCAGGUUCCUCUCCCUCUCCUCUGCCCAGCUCCCUCUCUGUCCCCUGUCCCUUUCUCGGGGCUCCCUCUCUGUCCCCUGUCCCUCUCUGUCCCAUGUCCCUUUCUUGGGGCUCCCUUUCUGUCCCCUGUCCCUCUCCCAGUGCUCCCCAGCUCCCUCCCUGUCCCCUGUCCAUCUCUGUCCUCUGUCCCUUUCUGGGGGCUCCCUCUCUGUCCCCUGUCCCUGUCCCAGGGCUCCCUCUCUGUCCCCUGUCCCAGGGCUCCCUCUCCAUUCCCUGUCCCUCUCUGUCCCCUGUCCCCGAUUCCAGAGCAAAGCCUGCCUGAUUUGCUGGCUCCGGGCCACCCCUGAUGGAGCAGAGCUCCCCUGGCAGCUUCUCCUCUCUGCUGCCCUCCGGAUCCACCCUGCGGUUUGUUUAUUUCUGGAAGCCCCUCCCCAGCACCUGUCGUGCUGCUGCUGUCCCUGUCCCACCCCCGAGGCCAUGUGA
RNAcentral lists this long non-coding RNA (1068 nucleotides) under Junco hyemalis (dark-eyed junco). RNAcentral's name for it is "lncRNA (ENSJHYG00000009364.1)". Lineage: Eukaryota; Metazoa; Chordata; Aves; Passeriformes; Passerellidae. The record is from RNAcentral.